This is a non-coding RNA of Caenorhabditis elegans, 424 nucleotides long. Lineage: Eukaryota; Metazoa; Nematoda; Chromadorea; Rhabditida; Rhabditidae. The record is from Ensembl.
GUUAGAAGCCAUUUCCAAAAGUUAUAAACGCGCCGCCGGCAACGUCAAUGCACCAGCGCCGGCGGCGGUGCACUCUGUUUUGGACGCCGCUGCCGCCGGCGUCAUGGAAUUCAGAGCCCUAAUUUCGAGCCCUAUAAGCCAUAAAUUCUAUGAUUUUUAGGUUUCCAAUUGGGUUUUAAAUCCGCCGCCGGCAGCCAAUUUCUCUUUGCAAUGCGUCACUGCCGGCGGCGGCACACGAGGAAUUCAGCGCCCUAAUUUUGAACCCGGUCAGUCACAAAUUUAAUGAUUUUGACACAAAAAUUCAAGUUUCCGAUAGGGAUCAAAAAAGGCCGGCGGCCAAAUUCUCUUCAAUGUGCCAGCGCCUGCGGCAGCGGGUUGAAAUGCUGCACCGCCGCCGGCAGACAACUUCUCAACGCGCAAGUGC